RNAcentral lists this ribosomal RNA (474 nucleotides) under uncultured organism. RNAcentral describes it as "partial 16S ribosomal RNA". It matches the Rfam family "Bacterial small subunit ribosomal RNA", at positions 335 to 801 of the family's 1533-position model. The record is from RNAcentral.
ACUCCUGCGGGAGGCAGCAGUGGGGAAUAUUGCACAAUGGGCGCAAGCCUGAUGCAGCCAUGCCGCGUGUAUGAAGAAGGCCUUCGGGUUGUAAAGUACUUUCAGCGGGGAGGAAGGCGAUAAGGUUAAUAACCUUGUUGAUUGACGUUACCCGCAGAAGAAGCACCGGCUAACUCCGUGCCAGCAGCCGCGGUAAUACGGAGGGUGCAAGCGUUAAUCGGAAUUACUGGGCGUAAAGCGCACGCAGGCGGUCUGUCAAGUCGGAUGUGAAAUCCCCGGGCUCAACCUGGGAACUGCAUUCGAAACUGGCAGGCUAGAGUCUUGUAGAGGGGGGUAGAAUUCCAGGUGUAGCGGUGAAAUGCGUAGAGAUCUGGAGGAAUACCGGUGGCGAAGGCGGCCCCCUGGACAAAGACUGACGCUCAGGUGCGAAAGCGUGGGGAGCAAACAGGAUUAGAUACCCGAGUAUCCCAUGAU